Molecule: ribosomal RNA, 839 nt
Filed under: uncultured bacterium
Lineage: Bacteria
Description: bacterial SSU rRNA
Rfam family: Bacterial small subunit ribosomal RNA
Source: RNAcentral
UCCAGCCUGCAGUGGGUACGGGCAGACUAGAGUGCGGUAGGGGAGAUUGGAAUUCCUGGUGUAGCGGUGGAAUGCGCAGAUAUCAGGAGGAACACCGAUGGCGAAGGCAGAUCUCUGGGCCGUAACUGACGCUGAGGAGCGAAAGCAUGGGGAGCGAACAGGAUUAGAUACCCUGGUAGUCCAUGCCGUAAACGUUGGGAACUAGAUGUAGGGACCAUUCCACGGUUUCUGUGUCGCAGCUAACGCAUUAAGUUCCCCGCCUGGGGAGUACGGCCGCAAGGCUAAAACUCAAAGGAAUUGACGGGGGCCCGCACAAGCGGCGGAGCAUGCGGAUUAAUUCGAUGCAACGCGAAGAACCUUACCAAGGCUUGACAUAUACCGGAAAAGUUCAGAAAUGUUCUCCCCGCAAGGUCGGUAUACAGGUGGUGCAUGGUUGUCGUCAGCUCGUGUCGUGAGAUGUUGGGUUAAGUCCCGCAACGAGCGCAACCCUCGUUCUAUGUUGCCAGCACGUAAUGGUGGGAACUCAUAGGAGACUGCCGGGGUCAACUCGGAGGAAGGUGGGGAUGACGUCAAAUCAUCAUGCCCCUUAUGUCUUGGGCUUCACGCAUGCUACAAUGGCCGAUACAAAGGGCUGCAAUACCGCAAGGUGGAGCGAAUCCCAAAAAGUCGGUCUCAGUUCGGAUUGAGGUCUGCAACUCGACCUCAUGAAGUCGGAGUCGCUAGUAAUCGCAGAUCAGCAACGCUGCGGUGAAUACGUUCCCGGGCCUUGUACACACCGCCCGUCAAGUCAUGAAAGUCGGUAACACCCGAAGCCAGUGGCCCAACCGCAAGGAGGGAGC